Long non-coding RNA from Trifolium pratense (red clover), 779 nucleotides. RefSeq lists it as uncharacterized. The transcript has 3 exons. The record is from RefSeq and is a predicted model, not a curated record. Lineage: Eukaryota; Viridiplantae; Streptophyta; Magnoliopsida; Fabales; Fabaceae.
AACCCACAUGGAUGGACAAAAAAACAAAAUCUGUUCUGAAGCAGCAAGAAAGUAGCAGUGUUGUGUCACUUUCAUCAUUGAAAAAAUUCAACUUCUUUCACCGUCCCACCAAAAUUUAUUCAUCUUUUCAAAAUUCAAAUCCCACACCUAUUCUUCUUUCUUUGUCUCGACAUCUCUUCCACACAUAUUCUUCUUUUAGUUUCCUUCAACUUCUCUCACCAUUGCAGAGGCAUCAAUUUGCUCAGUUUCAUAUUGACGAACAAACAUGGCUGGACAGGUGGUAAUUUUAUCAGUAGGGUUAUCUGUUACUUCUUCAGUCAAGUGGCUUCUUCAGCUUUGCAAGUAGAAAAGCUUCCUCGGAUAGAAAGGUUAACAAAUUGGGGUUUGAUCGAGUAAGUUUUCUGAACUUUAAUUGAUUGUUUCAUCUUUUCUCAAUGUUUUUUUUUCCUUCCUUUUAGUUUGAUUUAGAUAGAAAGAAUUAUUGUCAUUCUUUGAAUUCCUUACUUUAGUGAGAGUUGGUGAGAUACAUAGCUUUGAUUGUAAAAGUGAGCACUCAAAGUGAUUGUGGAAAUGUCUCAAUAUGAAAAUUGAUGGCUUUGUGGUAUUCCUUCUGAUAUUGCUUCUUCCUUUUACUCACAUCAUAUUUUAUUAGUGCAUAUAUCGACUCAUAGUUUGGUGGUUGAUGAAAGUGAUAUGUCAUUUAACAUUCUAAGUUUGAGUUUUUAUUUAUUGUUAAUUAUAAUUUCUACAAGUUUAUAUUUCUUCUGUUUGUGUUUAUA